UUUCCCAGGGUAAAAUUCUGGCUGGGACUUCCUUAGGUGAAGAUAGAAAGUCAUUAUUUCAUCCCUAAACUUGCAAAGCCAUCAUGGUUGAUACCCAGUUGUUAGAAAUGACUGAGUAUUCUCAAUUUGAAUGUUAAGCAACAAGAAAAGUGGCUCAUCUUUGUAUUUGUGUAAUUGUCGAUUCUAAUGGAAUCCACCUUUUAAUUGAUGGCAAUAUUUCUUUGGUUGUUCUCACAUUUUUCUGUUCUUAGUCCUGAAAUCUUGAAAAAUGUGACUCGAAAUGGAAGAGAAUCUUGUCAAUGUGCAUGAGGCGUCAAGACAUGGUUGCCUUUGUUAUGCAAUUCAGGAUAGACUUCCUACUUAUUGAACAGGGAUGGCCAGAAUCAGUGAGUUAACUUGAUUGAAAGAAAUCUAUGAUCAAGAGAGUCAUUUUACCAAUAGAAAUUACAAUAUGAUUACCUCUGGACAUAUCAUCAUCAACAACACUGAGAAUCAAUUAUCCUCAAGAUAUCUUCAAAGGCGUGGCAUUUAUACAUAAUAGAUACCAUUGGCAAGUCCAUUCUUUCUCCUAUGCGACUUCAACACAGGUUAGUCUUUGGAUUAACGAAUUGAAAGACGCCUUAAGUUGAAGUAGCCAUACUGCUUGGUGGUGGAAUAUAACCAUGCAAGGUAAGAAAUCCGGUAUCAGUGAGAUUGCAACGAUAACUGAGUUAUGCAAACUCAUCAUAUGCAGUUCUGCACAUUGAUAUUCUUAGUGCGUGACCUCAGUCUACUGCAUUUGUUAAGAAUUAUCCUAUAUUUGGUAAUCCUGAAUUGGAUGUCCUGGGAGAAGAAAUAAGAAAAAAAAUAUAUUCUGAUACAUGCUGACAUGGUCUCGUGGUGUUGCGUCAAAACUGAUAUACUAUGUAUUGACAUGAAGAAAAAUUAAUUUUGAAAAGUUUGAAUGUUCUCCCA
Molecule: long non-coding RNA, 954 nt
Organism: Eucalyptus grandis
Lineage: Eukaryota; Viridiplantae; Streptophyta; Magnoliopsida; Myrtales; Myrtaceae
Exons: 2
Source: RefSeq, a predicted model, not a curated record